Long non-coding RNA from Salvia splendens (bonfire salvia), 847 nucleotides. RefSeq lists it as uncharacterized. Lineage: Eukaryota; Viridiplantae; Streptophyta; Magnoliopsida; Lamiales; Lamiaceae. The record is from RefSeq and is a predicted model, not a curated record. The transcript is spliced from 2 exons.
UGUAAGUGGCAAACGCAAAAUAGAUUUUUAUGUCAAUUCCGCAGCACCUUCAAAAUUAAAUGCGCUAAACGAUCCAUUUUUUGUUCGCGUAUCGCUUUUGAAUCGACAAAAUGGGAAAUUACUUUAUUUUUUGGGUCUUAAACGCUUGCUCUCAAAAUCCAACGGAACCUCAUCCAACGCCCUGCGAUUCGCCUAUUUCUUCAUAGGAUUUUUGUUAUGUAGAGUUGCAUUAUAGACGAACUCGAUAUGUGUUUGAUGGGGCAGUGAGAUACAAGAGAGGGAUAUUGAAGUUGGUCGGAACCUUGGCAAAUUAAACAGCAACAUGACAAAUCAGUUGAAUAAACAGGGAGGAGUGCCAAAACCUACGGAGACAUCUAUUCACUGCUUCUCGAUCUAUCUUACCUGAAAACCCUACCAUCGAUGCAGCCAACAAGGUCUAUUGGGCAUAAUAUGGAGCUGGUGGUUUAGAGUUAUUCAGCGUGUACCACGCGAGUUUUGGCCCUAGGGGAGUGCUUAGGAAUGACAUAAGGCACUGGAGUAUGUAUCACUAAUAUGUUCCUAUUACUUUUACUACCAAGAUGAUUGAAAUCCUUGAAGACUUGAGAUCGAAGAUGAUCUUUAAAAGGGGAAACAUGUAAAUAGCAUAAAAGGUAGGACUUGAAUUUUGUUCUGCUCUAGCUGGAAGCUGGAAUAAUUUUGUCUUCUUAGUGAUCUACUGUAGUUUGCAUUUCUUAGACAAUCUUGUUUGAAAACAUAGUGCUAGUGCAUGUGCCUGUGCCUGGACAAUCAUGCCACUACUUUGAACAUGUUUGGCCAUUCUAUAUCUCGAACGAUGUUUGUGCUGAAA